This 86-nucleotide transfer RNA is filed under the name Candidatus Omnitrophota bacterium. RNAcentral's name for it is "tRNA-Ser". It matches the Rfam family "tRNA". From Rfam's summary of the family: Transfer RNA (tRNA) molecules are approximately 80 nucleotides in length. Their secondary structure includes four short double-helical elements and three loops (D, anti-codon, and T loops). Lineage: Bacteria; Pseudomonadati; Candidatus Omnitrophota. The record is from RNAcentral.
GGUGGGGUAGCCAAGUGGUUGUACGGCGUUGGUCUUGAAAACCAAUGUUCCGCAAGGAACCGUGAGUUCGAAUCUCACCCCCACCG